GUCCCGGUAGGGUAGAGGAUAUCCUAGAAGCCUGCGGAGCUUUUGACUGGGGUUCGAAUCCCCAUCGGGACG
Molecule: transfer RNA, 72 nt
Filed under: Methanocorpusculum sp.
Lineage: Archaea; Methanobacteriati; Methanobacteriota; Methanomicrobia; Methanomicrobiales; Methanocorpusculaceae
Description: tRNA-Arg
Rfam family: tRNA
About the family: Transfer RNA (tRNA) molecules are approximately 80 nucleotides in length. Their secondary structure includes four short double-helical elements and three loops (D, anti-codon, and T loops).
Source: RNAcentral